This 105-nucleotide non-coding RNA is filed under the name Clostridium oryzae. RNAcentral's name for it is "Guanine sequence". It matches the Rfam family "Purine riboswitch aptamer". Rfam says of the family: Riboswitches are metabolite binding domains within certain messenger RNAs that serve as precision sensors for their corresponding targets. Allosteric rearrangement of mRNA structure is mediated by ligand binding, and this results in modulation of gene expression. The record is from Rfam by way of RNAcentral. Lineage: Bacteria; Bacillati; Bacillota; Clostridia; Eubacteriales; Clostridiaceae.
AAAAAUAGAAUAAUAUUCACUUAUAUAAAUUCAGCAAUAUGGGUUGAGUGUUUCUACCAGGCUACCGUAAAUAGCUACAGGACUAUAAGUGUCUACUAACAAAUU